AUUGAACGCUGGCGGCAGGCCUAACACAUGCAAGUCGAGCGGUAGAGAGGUGCUUGCAUCUCUUGAGAGCGGCGGACGGGUGAGUGAUGCCUAGGAAUCUGCCCUAGUGGUGGGGGAUAACGUUCGGAAACGGACGCUAAUACCGCAUACGUCCUACGGGAGAAAGCGGGGGAUCUUCGGACCUCGCGCCAUUAGAUGAGCCUAGGUCGGAUUAGCUAGUUGGUGAGGUAAUGGGCUCACCCAAGGCGACGAUCCGUAACUGGUCUGAGAGGAUGAUCAGUCACACUGGAACUGAGACACGGUCCAGACUCCUACGGGAGGCAGCAGUGGGGAAUAUUGGACAAUGGGCGAAAGCCUGAUCCAGCCAUGCCGCGUGUGUGAAGAAGGUCUUCGGAUUGUAAAGCACUUUAAGUUGGGAGGAAGGGUAGUGACCUAAUACGUUGCUACUUUGACGUUACCGACAGAAUAAGCACCGGCUAACUUCGUGCC
Molecule: ribosomal RNA, 489 nt
Filed under: uncultured bacterium
Lineage: Bacteria
Description: bacterial SSU rRNA
Rfam family: Bacterial small subunit ribosomal RNA
Source: RNAcentral